RNAcentral lists this non-coding RNA (972 nucleotides) under Gallinago gallinago (common snipe). RNAcentral describes it as "12S ribosomal RNA". It matches the Rfam family "Bacterial small subunit ribosomal RNA". The record is from RNAcentral. Lineage: Eukaryota; Metazoa; Chordata; Aves; Charadriiformes; Scolopacidae.
AAAGACUUAGUCCUAACCUUACCGUUAAUUUUUGCUAAAUAUAUACAUGCAAGUAUCCGCGCCCCAGUGUAAAUGCCCUUGAAUCUCCUAUUAAAGAAAAAAGGAGCAGGUAUCAGGCACACCAUUGUAGCCCAAGACGCCUUGCUUUGCCACACCCCCACGGGUACUCAGCAGUAAUUAACAUUAAGCAAUAAGUGAAAACUUGACUUAGUUAUAGCAAUUCAAGGGUUGGUAAAUCUUGUGCCAGCCACCGCGGUCAUACAAGAGACCCAAAUUAACUGCAUGCGGCGUAAAGAGUGGUAUCAUGUUAUCAUAACAACUAAGACCGAAGUGCAACCAAGCUGUCAUAAGCUCAAGAUGUACCUAAGACCUUCAUAGACCUUAGUGACCCUGAUUAAUUUAAUCCCACGAAAGCUAAGACACAAACUGGGAUUAGAUACCCCACUAUGCUUAGCCCUAAAUCUCGAUGCUUUCUAUAUACUAAAGCAUCCGCCCGAGAACUACGAGCACAAACGCUUAAAACUCUAAGGACUUGGCGGUGCCCUAAACCCACCUAGAGGAGCCUGUUCUGUAAUCGAUAACCCACGUUAACACCCGACCGUCCCUUGCCAUAAAACAGCCUACAUACCGCCGUCGCCAGCUCACCUCCUCUGAGAGUUCAACAGCGAACACAAUAGCCUAAACCCGCUAAUAAGACAGGUCGAGGUAUAGCCCACGGGACGGAAGAAAUGGGCUACAUUUUCUAACAAUAGACAAAUUCACGGAAGGGGGUAUGAAAUCGCCCCCCGAAGGCGGAUUUAGCAGUAAAGCGGGACAAUAUAUGCCCUCUUUAAACUGGCCCUGGGGCACGUACAUACCGCCCGUCACCCUCCUCACAAGCUACAUUAUUCAUAAUAUUUUAAUACUAAUCCUAAGCUGAAGAUGAGGUAAGUCGUAACAAGGUAAGUGUACCGGAAGGUGUACUUAGCAUAC